RNAcentral lists this ribosomal RNA (1422 nucleotides) under uncultured organism. RNAcentral's name for it is "16S ribosomal RNA". It matches the Rfam family "Bacterial small subunit ribosomal RNA". The record is from RNAcentral.
AGGAUGAACGCUAGCUACAGGCUUAACACAUGCAAGUCGAGGGGCAGCAUGGUCUUAGCUUGCUAAGGCCGAUGGCGACCGGCGCACGGGUGAGUAACACGUAUCCAACCUGCCGUCUACUCUUGGACAGCCUUCUGAAAGGAAGAUUAAUACAAGAUGGCAUCAUGAGUCCGCAUGUUCACAUGAUUAAAGGUAUUCCGGUAGACGAUGGGGAUGCGUUCCAUUAGAUAGUAGGCGGGGUAACGGCCCACCUAGUCUUCGAUGGAUAGGGGUUCUGAGAGGAAGGUCCCCCACAUUGGAACUGAGACACGGUCCAAACUCCUACGGGAGGCAGCAGUGAGGAAUAUUGGUCAAUGGGCGAGAGCCUGAACCAGCCAAGUAGCGUGAAGGAUGACUGCCCUAUGGGUUGUAAACUUCUUUUAUAAAGGAAUAAAGUCGGGUAUGGAUACCCGUUUGCAUGUACUUUAUGAAUAAGGAUCGGCUAACUCCGUGCCAGCAGCCGCGGUAGUACGGAGGAUCCGAGCGUUAUCCGGAUUUAUUGGGUUUAAAGGGAGCGUAGAUGGAUGUUUAAGUCAGUUGCGAAAGUUUGCGGCUCAACCGUAAAAUUGCAGUUGAUACUGGAUAUCUUGAGUGCAGUUGAGGUAGGCGGAAUUCGUGGUGUAGCGGUGAAAUGCUUAGAUAUCACGAAGAACUCCGAUUGCGAAGGCAGCCUGCUAAGCUGCAACUGACAUUGAGGCUCGAAAGUGUGGGUAUCAAACAGGAUUAGAUACCCUGGUAGUCCACACGGUAAACGAUGAAUACUCGCUGUUUGCGAUAUACAGCAAGCGGCCAAGCGAAAGCGUUAAGUAUUCCACCUGGGGAGUACGCCGGCAACGGUGAAACUCAAAGGAAUUGACGGGGGCCCGCACAAGCGGAGGAACAUGUGGUUUAAUUCGAUGAUACGCGAGGAACCUUACCCGGGCUUAAAUUGCAGAUGAAUUACGGUGAAAGCCGUAAGCCGCAAGGCAUCUGUGAAGGUGCUGCAUGGUUGUCGUCAGCUCGUGCCGUGAGGUGUCGGCUUAAGUGCCAUAACGAGCGCAACCCUUGUUGUCAGUUACUAACAGGUUCCGCUGAGGACUCUGACAAGACUGCCAUCGUAAGAUGUGAGGAAGGUGGGGAUGACGUCAAAUCAGCACGGCCCUUACGUCCGGGGCUACACACGUGUUACAAUGGGGGGUACAGAGGGCCGCUACCACGCGAGUGGAUGCCAAUCCCCAAAACCUCUCUCAGUUCGGACUGGAGUCUGCAACCCGACUCCACGAAGCUGGAUUCGCUAGUAAUCGCGCAUCAGCCACGGCGCGGUGAAUACGUUCCCGGGCCUUGUACACACCGCCCGUCAAGCCAUGGGAGCCGGGGGUACCUGAAGUGCGUAACCGCGAGGAG